Molecule: long non-coding RNA, 774 nt
Filed under: Mus musculus (house mouse)
Lineage: Eukaryota; Metazoa; Chordata; Mammalia; Rodentia; Muridae
Description: long non-coding RNA chr4:138206284-138207058
Source: RNAcentral
GGACAGGAAUCAGGUGAUCAUGGAGGAUAAAGGUCCUGGAACAAGGAAACAGCAAACCCGAGGGCGGGCGCUCCAAAACCAAAAUACAUGUACUAUUUAUAGAAAAUAUUUUCUGUUUUAAUCUUUUCUUUUUAAACGAGGACUCAUACUUUAAAAAAAAAAAUAAAAAAAAAAACACAUUUAGCAAAAAAAAAAAAAAGAAAAAAGAAAAAAAAGAAAAAGAAAAAAAAAACAGUUGAACUUUAAUUUAUUUUAAGGACUGCAAAUGCCAGUGUAAUUUUUUUAAUUUGCAGUUUCUGUAAACAACUUGUAUAAUAGAAAAGCAGAGAAAUAAAUUUCCCUUCCCUUCAGAUGCACCGCACAUUUGUGUUAAGGCAUAGCUGUUAGUCCCGAUUUGAGAAGGUUUGGGGUGAACGAGGUAAGAAAGAUCUUUUUUCCCUUCCCCGGCCCUUUUCUUGCUCCACUCCCAGCCCUAUCUUCAGAUCUUUCUGCCUCUCAGCUUGCUUCAGAAAAUUUAAAAAUCACACUAGUAAUCAAAACAUACAUAACCUUGGAACAGAAGGAAGUACUGUGGACCAGAAAAAUCCAAGAAUUGUUCAAAAAAAGUGCUACCCUGGAAAAUACCCUUAAUACCGUUGAAAUCGUUAGAGUAACUUUAAGGCUUGUAAAUACAUAGAACAAAUAUUUAAAAACAUAAAAAAGGAAUUGACUCAAUACUAUUUCUUUUCACUUUCAAAAUAUAAGGAACAAAAUAAAGACGAGCAUUGCAAGUUU